CAUGAAGCUGGAAUCGCUAGUAAUCGCGGAUCAGAAUGCCGCGGUGAAUACGUUCCCGGGUCUUGUACACACCGCCCGUCACACCAUGGGAGUCGGAAAUGCCCGAAGCCGGUGACCUAACCUUUCAGGAAGGAGCCGUCGAAGGCAGGUCUGAUAACUGGGGUGAAGUCGUAACAAGGUAAC
RNAcentral lists this ribosomal RNA (183 nucleotides) under uncultured bacterium. RNAcentral's name for it is "partial 16S ribosomal RNA". It matches the Rfam family "Bacterial small subunit ribosomal RNA", at positions 1319 to 1500 of the family's 1533-position model. The record is from RNAcentral.